GAGGAAGCGACACGAGACAAGCUCGGAGACAGCGGCUUGCCACCCCCCCCCGCCCCCCCCCCCCCAAAAACCCCGGCCGUCGGAAUUCAGAGCGCGCGCGCGCGCACGGACACACAACCACGGCUCUAGGCUCGCCCUUCGGGGAAGCGGCCGAGAAACUGCUUUGCCCCCUCGCUGACCCUUCCCAAGCCCCCGGGAAUUCCAGGAAAGGGUUAAGGUGCGACGGUGGCAGAGGAGACGCCGGCUGAGGAAACCGAAAGGGAGCGCUCAGCCAACAAAACCGUUGAUAGCUCAGCCGGCCGCUGCAGCCAAGUGGAACGAGCGUCGGGCUUCCUCUGCGGCUUCACUGAAGGUAGCGGCAGCCGGGCGUUAGACGGACUGGAGGAGCACGAGGCGUCCAACCGGGGCUGACUUUCACCACGCGGGAAAGGCGCCCGCGCGCGCCCCGCCUUGACCCGAAGACCACGCGGGAAGGAAAGGCGGGAGACGUCCGCGCGGCGACGGUGGGCGAGGUUGCACCUGUGGGCGGAGCCGCCUUUCCUACCUUCAAGAGCUGCAGCCCCGGGUCGGACUCCCUACCCUUUCAGGGGCAAAACUGGCAAUCGCUGAGGGAGGAAGCGCCGAGUUGCUCUUUGAACCCCUCACCCUCAGGGAGUGGAGGACCCAUAGGCUGGGGUUGGGAGCAAAGCAGGGGCUUCUCCAGCUUCAGGCAGAAGCAGUCCGCUUUUUCUGGCCCUCCUUUUUCCCGCCCCAGGGCAGGUUUGACUUCCUUGGCUUUCUCAUUGGCUUCCUUUCGAGUGUGGAGUUGACGGUGGCUCCGUGUCCUCUUCUCCCCCCCUUCUUUGGUUAGAGAGACUUGACUGCGAGGAGGAGAAGUUUCUUGCUCCGGUAUUUUGGGGAGUUGCGUGUCCGUACUGUUUCUUUCAAUUUUUAAAAUAUUGGAUGUUUUGUUUGGUAGCUUUGUCGAAGCUGGGCCCGUUUUCUUUUUCCAGGCAAUUCCAGGGGUCCUUCCCUAAUCUGUAAUGAAGCGGCUGCGGGAGAAGGAGGUACGUCUCCAGACGCCCCUUGGUUUGGCUGGGCUGAAGAGGCUGCCCGCGGCUGCCCGGGGUUGUUGAUGCCCGGCCUUGUGGUCGCUUUUGGAAGAUGGUUCUCUUUGGGAUUACACGUGGGGAGAGGCGGUCCCUCCGAGGGCGAGUGGGCUGGUGAAACUGACCUGACGCGCUGUUUGCUCUGGGGACGUUGUUGGCCUCAAUGGCUCCAUCUCCCAGCAGGAGCAGCAGGAAAGAUGCCAACGCGCUGCCAAGUUCUUCCUCAACUUUCUGGGUAGUUAUGAUCUUGGUUGGCCUCCUCAUCACCUACUGCAGUCAGUUGGCUGCAGGUACAUGUGAAAUUGUUACUUUGGACAGAGAUAGCAGUCAGCCUCGAAGGACUAUAGCCCGACAAACAGCUCGUUGUGCAUGUAAAAAAGGACAGAUUGCCGGUACCACAAGAGCCAGGCCAGCCUGUGUCGAUGCUCGCAUUAUAAAAACAAAACAGUGGUGUGAAAUGCUUCCAUGUUUAGAAGGAGAAGGCUGUGAUUUGCUAAUCAAUAAAUCCGGCUGGACUUGUACACAACCAGGUGGGCGGAUAAAGACAACAACGCCUGUCUGAGGUCAUGAGGGUUGGAGUCUGACCACUAGCCCGAAAAGGAAAGGCUGUUUGCAAGAGUUCUGGGUGUAUUUUCCUGGAAAAGGUCUCCUGACAAAUGCAACAACAGAGAAGCCUUGUAGGAGUUUUUAAGCUCUGUGUGGGCUAUAUUCCCUAGUCAAGUUUCACUGCUGUGGAUCAUCAUCCAUUCUGUGUCAUCAGUCCAACUGUCUGUUUCUCUGUAUUUCAUAAAAGACAGCAUAAUUCUACAUAAUGACCUAAAGUCUGUUCUAUUAUACUAAAGAGUUCUGGACUAAGGAAUAGAGAAAUAAAAGAAAUGUCUGGGCAUUAGCAAUACAAAAUCAAAACAACUCCCCCCACACACAUACACACACACACAAAAAUAGUUCACAGUUAACGUCUCAUCUGCGUUCUGCACUGCUUCUGGACUUGAUGUGUUGUCAAGUUUUAAUCUGAAGUUUCAGCCAGGGUGGAGAGUACUCAUCCCAAACAGCCUUAGAGAAGACUGCUUUUGUCUACAGGAGGACACUAAGGUGCAAAAGAGAGUUUCUUCUUGCACCCUAGACUGCCUGAAUUGAUUUUAUUUUCUUAUGUUUCAGUAUAUACAAUAGACCAAAGAGCAAAAAAAAAAUCUAUUUUAAAGUGGACAAAUGGUACUGUUAACAGAGUUAUUUGGGUUCAGCAGCAUGGGGACCACCCUGCACGAAUACAGCUCACCUAGUGCUGCGGUGUUACCGCUCAUCGGCAGUCUCUGUGGAACACUGCCUAAAACGCUGGAAUUGCUCUUGGAGAAAAGUACACUAAAGCCCACAAUGGAACAUGGAGAGAAAAUUAUCAUUCUUCAACAAGGAAACAGAACUUUGACCAGAAAUGACACAAACUGUCUACGCACCACCUUUACUUCUCUGUGCUUAGAUUGACUUCUCGUACUAAAAUCAUUUUGAGUUUAACCAGUUCAACAUGCCUCUUCUAUGGUUCCAUUUUUUGAUCGUUAAAAGUUGGAUAAUACAGUAUUUGCAAAGAGCAUGUUUGGUCAUUUGUGGCCUAUGUUUCAUCUGAUACACCAAUUAGCACCGGAAAGCAAAUCCAAGGGGGCGGGGAAGUAACACUUGUUUGAAAGAGAUCAUUUAAAUGUAUUUUGAAAAGCCUAAAGUUAUAUAUUUAACAGUUUUUAUAUGUUGUAUAUUUGUAGAAAAUCCUAUUUAACAAUUAACGUGGCAACUCUGACGGUCAUGACAAAAAAAGAAAAUUUCAGAGUUAAGUUGUUUUAUUACUUCAGAUGUUUCUGAAGGGACUGGUGUAGUUUGCUUUCUUCUAUUGGGGCAUUCCGGAUGUGAAGCAUGACCUGAGAGAACUCUGUAGAAAAAGCAAAGAAUAAUGUUGUUUAUAUUACAUAAAUGCAUUCAGCCAUUGCACUGUUGGAAGGCUUUCUCAGUCUCUCUUUCUCUUUCUGUCUCCCUCUCCCCUUUUUUCUUUUGAGGAGUCUUUAUAUACCAGUAAAAAUGUAAAAAUAUUUUAAUCAUUUGCUUUCCAUUCUGAGUUAUUUUUUUAUUUCUCUCUGUUCUUCCCCUUUUUGCCAAUUGGGUUUUUUAAAAAAUACAUCAGUUUGCAACCAUUCCUUGCUUUAUAUCAGGGGUCCUCAGCAUGGUGUCUGUGAGCUUCAUGGCACCCACUAACUCCUUUCAGGGCACUCAACAACUGUUUUUAGAAAGUGACUAUGGAUAGGUGAGGCUUUUGUCCAUCAAGGCUUCUGAUUGGCCAUUGGCCAUUUGAUUGGCUGUGCAUAUUUUUAAAACUCUUGUUUUGGCAGUGGUUGCCAUUUUGUAACUGAGCCCACUUUGCUGUGUCAAAAUUCCAAAGGUGUGUGCAGGCUCAAAACAUUUGGGGAUCACUGAUCUAGAUGUAGGGUUUUUUUCUUUCACCUCAUCUUUUAGAAAGCCCCCUUCUGCAACACUUUAGAGUAGAGAAAAUUUAGAGUGCUAUUUAAAAAAAUUUAAAAAGAUAGAAACAAAAAAAUUCCACAUGUAACUUUUUUGUCUGUAAGUCUGGCUCAUAGUGAUGCGAUAAGCUCAACAAAUGGUCAUUCCUUCUUCCCCACAAAUAUCUGCCAACAUGAAACUUUCUCCUAAUGCCCACUGUAGUAUACUACCUAAAUACUCUAAUUAACUUUUAAUAUUAUGCUAGUUCUAUGCUACUAAAGAAAAGAAAUAUAUAGGGACUGUUCAAGCAACCAUAGAUGAGAGGUAUGAAGAAAAAAAUGUUUAUUUAAGACCUCUUCUGAUUUUCAGAAUUAUUAUAAUGCACAGAUUGAGGAAACCAUGAAUUAUAGGUGACAGUGUCUACAAAAAAUAUGUACGUUAAUAGUCUUAUUUUAUUGUGAGGGUUUUAAUCCAUGUCCAAGUAGUAAUUAAAGCCCAGCCACUUGAAAAGUGUUAUGAACUGACUGCACUAUAAAUGACCAAUGUCUGAUUUAAAGUGUCAUGCAAUAAACUAUGGUAAACGCUUCACCUGUAUUACAAGAUUUGGAGAGCCAGAUCCCUCGCACAGCUGAAUUUUGGUUUUGUUUUGGUUUAUUUUGGAAGGGAGUGUAAUAGCCUUAUUUAGUAAAUACUGAACAAGAUUAAAAUGUUUCGACAUUUUUGUUGCUUUACAGUAUUCAGUUUUGUGUUGGUUCAGUUAAAUUAUGAAAAAAUAAAGAAAAUCCUUUUAUAAGUGA
Molecule: RNA transcript, 4363 nt
Organism: Sphaerodactylus townsendi
Lineage: Eukaryota; Metazoa; Chordata; Lepidosauria; Squamata; Sphaerodactylidae
Gene: TAFA5
Gene name: TAFA chemokine like family member 5
Exons: 5
Source: RefSeq, a predicted model, not a curated record